UUUUAAUAUAUCUAGUUUUUUAAGAAAUUAAUUUAAUUUAGAUAUUUUAUUUUUAAUAUUUUAAUUUUAUUAAUUUAUUAUAAUUAAAUAUUAAUAUUUUAAGGGAUGAGCUUUAAAAUAAAAUUUUAUAAAUAAUUUUAUUAAUUAAUAAUUGUAAGCUUAGAAUUAGUUAUCAAUAGAAAUUAUGUUUUAAUUUAUUUUUUUUUUAAUAUUAUUUAAUAUUUAUUUUAUUUUUUUUUUAUUAAAAUAUAGAUUUUAAUUUUAUAAAUUUAGUAAUAAUGAUAAAAUUAGUAAAUAUAGAAAUAAUAAUAAUAUAUCAAUAAUGAUUGGUUUUUAUAAUUAAUUCGGCAAAUUUUGUGUGUUCACCUGUUUAUCAAAAACAUGUCUUUUUUGAAUUUUAUAUAAAGUCUGACCUGCCCACUGAAUAAAUUUUAAAGGGCCGCAGUAUUUUGACUGUGCAAAGGUAGCAUAAUCAUUAGUCUUUUAAUUGAAGGCUGGUAUGAAUGGUUGGAUGAGAUACAAGCUGUGUCAUAAAAAUUAAAAUUUGAAUUUAACUUUUUAGUUAAAAGGCUAAAAUAAUUUUAAAAGACGAGAAGACCCUAUAGAGCUUUAUAUAAUAAAUAUUUAAAUUAUUAAGAUUUAUUAAAUUUAAUUUUUGUAUUAUAUUUUGUUGGGGUGACAAUAAAAUUUAUAAAACUUUUAUUUUUAUUUUACAUUUAUUUAUGUUUAAAUGAUCCAUUUUUAUUGAUUAUAAAUUUAAGUUACCUUAGGGAUAACAGCGUAAUUUUUUUUGAGAGUUCUUAUCGACAAAAAAGAUUGCGACCUCGAUGUUGGAUUAAGAGUAAUUUUGGGUGUAGCAGUUCAAAGUUUAAGUCUGUUCGACUUUUAGAAUCUUACAU
RNAcentral lists this ribosomal RNA (899 nucleotides) under Simulium siamense. Its description in RNAcentral is "partial 16S ribosomal RNA". Lineage: Eukaryota; Metazoa; Arthropoda; Insecta; Diptera; Simuliidae. The record is from RNAcentral.